UUUGGCAGGGUGCAAUGUGGUGUUCGGGAGGGGUUAUUCGUGCCUAGAGCUCUGUGUCCAAGUCCCCCUGACUGGGGCCAUCGCCCAUUGAGGGUGCAAGGCCUGUUGGGCAGGGCUACGUCUCGGAUCUCGGUACGUUUUUCCCCUUCCUUGGAGUCGGGUUGCUUGAGAGUGCAACCCAAAGUGGGUGGUAAACUCCACCUAAGGCUAAAUACUUGCCACGAGACCGAUAACAAACAAGUACCGUGAGGGAAAGUUGCAAAGAACUUUGAAGAGAGAGUUCAAGAGUGCGUGAAACCGUUUGGAGGUAAACGGGUGGGACCUCGAAGGUCGAACGGAUGGGGAGGGAUUCAACUGGGCGCGGUGGCUCGUCGAGUCGAGUCCGCGAAGGGUACGUUACCGUCAGUCAUCUCUCGGGGUGGUUGGCAGGCCGUUGCCCCGCGGGUCUCCUUAAAGAGUCCGCUGUGCCUUGUGCAUUUCCCUACACCCCCUCUCCCAGUAGGACGCCGCGACCGGCUGUCGAGGGAAGCCCAAAAGCUGGUAGGAGCAGCUGCGCGGACGAGUAAGGGAUUUCGUUCUCUGCGUCCGGUCUGUCUGUCUCCUGCCGCCCGCGGGUCGCUUCCUCCGGCCGAGGAUGCUAGAGCGGAGAUCAUCUUUUUUAGGUGGACUUCGUUCAAGCGCGUGCCCACGAUAAACGUUGCGGGUCGAAAGAACCCAACGGGUGGCGGUGAAUGGCUGUGUGCCGGUCUUCUGAUCGCUGCGUACGGUCAUUUACUUAGCUGCUGUCGGCCAGGGUGCGGACUCCCGCUCUAUCAGGGCGCUAGGGGUCAGCGGCGAGUAGGUCGGUUUCCCACCCGACCCGUCUUGAAACACGGACCAAGAAGUCUAACGUGUGCGCGAGUCUUCGGGGUACCUCCGAACCCUUAGAAGGCGCAAUGAAAGUGAAGGUAUAGGUUUAUUUCCUUACCUGGGUGGGAUCCCCCGUCUUAUGGCGGAGGCGCACCACCGGCCCGUCCAA
Molecule: ribosomal RNA, 1018 nt
Filed under: Opisotretidae sp. MPE04933
Lineage: Eukaryota; Metazoa; Arthropoda; Diplopoda; Polydesmida; Opisotretidae
Description: partial large subunit ribosomal RNA
Rfam family: Eukaryotic large subunit ribosomal RNA
Source: RNAcentral